This 271-nucleotide unclassified non-coding RNA is filed under the name Glomeraceae sp. RNAcentral's name for it is "partial contains 5.8S ribosomal RNA and internal transcribed spacer 2". The stretch from base 1 to 65 matches the Rfam family "5.8S ribosomal RNA", at positions 84 to 154 of the family's 154-position model. The record is from RNAcentral. Lineage: Eukaryota; Fungi; Glomeromycota; Glomeromycetes; Glomerales; Glomeraceae.
GUGAAUCAUCAAAUUUUUGAGCGCAAAUUGCACUCUUUUCGGAGAGUAUGCCUGUUUGAGGGUCAGCCUAUAAAAAUCGAUAUCGUCGUUGUUUCGCGGUGGCGUUUGUUGGUAUUUGGGUGAUUUUAAAUCCUUUUGAUUUAAGCGAAUUAAAAUUUUUUUUUGGUUACAUGAACGUUUCUAAGAUCUAUUUCUUUACACGUUUAAGGUAUCGAUUUUUACUUGCUGUGAUUAUCAUGUCGGAUCGCGUCGAUAAUCUUUUAUUAACUGA